This 920-nucleotide ribosomal RNA is filed under the name uncultured bacterium. Its description in RNAcentral is "bacterial SSU rRNA". It matches the Rfam family "Bacterial small subunit ribosomal RNA", at positions 111 to 1038 of the family's 1533-position model. The record is from RNAcentral.
UAACGUGUAUAGAACCUACCUUAUAUUGGGGGAUAGCCCAGAGAAAUUUGGAUUAAUACCCCAUAGUAUGCUGAAUUGGCAUCAGUUUAGUAUUAAAGAUUUAUCGAUAUAAGAUGGCUAUGCGUUCUAUUAGCUAGUUGGUAAGGUAACGGCUCACCAAGGCGACGAUAGAUAGGGGUCCUGAGAGGGAGAUCCCCCACACUGGUACUGAGACACGGACCAGACUCCUACGGGAGGCAGCAGUGAGGAAUAUUGGACAAUGGAGGCAACUCUGAUCCAGCCAUGCCGCGUGCAGGAAGACUGCCCUAUGGGUUGUAAACUGCUUUUAUAGAGGAAGAAACCGCUCUACGUGUAGAGCUCUGACGGUACUCUACGAAUAAGGAUCGGCUAACUCCGUGCCAGCAGCCGCGGUAAUACGGAGGAUCCAAGCGUUAUCCGGAAUCAUUGGGUUUAAAGGGUCCGUAGCGGGCUUAUAAGUCAGUGGUGAAAGUUUGCGGCUCAACCGUAAAAUUGCCAUUGAUACUGUAGGUCUUGAAUCAUUGUGAAGUGGUUAGAAUGUGUAGUGUAGCGGUGAAAUGCAUAGAUAUUACACAGAAUACCGAUUGCGAAGCAGAUCACUAACAAUUGAUUGACGCUCAGGGACGAAAGCGUGGGUAGCGAACAGGAUUAGAUACCCUGGUAGUCCACGCCGUAAACGAUGGUUACUAGCUGUUUGGACUUCGGUCUGAGUGGCUAAGCGAAAGUGAUAAGUAACCCACCUGGGGAGUACGUUCGCAAGAAUGAAACUCAAAGGAAUUGACGGGGGCCCGCACAAGCGUGGAGCAUGUGGUUUAAUUCGAUGAUACGCGAGGAACCUUACCAGGGCUUAAAUGUAGUCUGACAGCUUUAGAGAUAGAGUUUUCUUCGGACAGAUUACAAGG